UUUAUAUAAAAGAGUUCCAUAUGAAUAAGCCUCCUCCACACUAAAAGCCAUGCAAGAAAAAUUUAGUACGCCCAUUUAUUUUGAUGUUAAGAAGGAAGAGUCCUUAACUGGGUAUCUUAAUUUCUUUCAAGUUCCAUGCAUUUUUCAUUAAUCCUUGUGUCAUGUGAUCGUGCUUGGGAUAUGGAGCAUGGAAGAGGAGGAGGAGUCCUCUUGGAAGGAAUUUACAUGCCAAAAAUUAUUGGGAUGCCCCAUUUAUUUUGGCGUUGGAGAAGAGAAGUCCUUCUCUUUUACUUCUCUUAAUUUCUUUACAUGUUUCCACAUGUCCCAUUAUUUUGUGCACCAUCAGAUGGAGCCUUGAGAUGUGCGAUGUGGAAGAAAAGGAAGAGUCCUUCUCUGGCAAGGAAUUUGAAUGUCAAAAUAAAUGGGAUGCUCCUUUUGUGCAUUCAAAUAUGUAGAGUCCUUAAUUUAACGAACUCUUGGUAUUUCACAUGUUCUCCCUUUUAAGGCACCAUAUUUUGGCAUUCUGAUUUUUUCUAGUAGAGGAAGAGUCCUUCUGCUUGUUAAAGACCUCUUAUUCUAUGCCUUAACCAUUGGGAUUCUAUGCUAAAAAUUAAUUUUAGCAUGUAAGUGAGGUGGGACGCCCAGAGUUGGUGCCCCUUGGAAAAAUAUGUGACA
This 675-nucleotide long non-coding RNA is filed under the name Elaeis guineensis (African oil palm). RNAcentral's name for it is "long non-coding RNA (EGUI_LNC062048)". The record is from RNAcentral. Lineage: Eukaryota; Viridiplantae; Streptophyta; Magnoliopsida; Arecales; Arecaceae.